Molecule: transfer RNA, 74 nt
Filed under: candidate division WWE3 bacterium
Lineage: Bacteria; candidate division WWE3
Description: tRNA-Trp
Rfam family: tRNA
About the family: Transfer RNA (tRNA) molecules are approximately 80 nucleotides in length. Their secondary structure includes four short double-helical elements and three loops (D, anti-codon, and T loops).
Source: RNAcentral
GGGGACGUCGGUUAGUGGUAAACCAUGGGACUCCAAAUCCCAAACCGGGGGUUCGAUUCCCUCCGUCCCUGCCA